UAUUUGGCGGAGAGCAAGAGGAGUAUCUUUCUGAUUUUAUUUAAGAGAAUGGGUGUAAGGUGGAAAUCCCUAAUGAGUUGGAUUGAGAAAGUAGCUUGUGAGCUAACAGAGUGAAUAGUAUCAGUAGCUUUGUUUGAGGUAACGGGUCAUUACCCCCGUUUAUGAAGUGGUUUGAAGAAGUAUUUUCUUCAAUCAAUUUAGGUGGUACCGCGAAUGAGUAAGCAUUCGUCCUAUUG
RNAcentral lists this non-coding RNA (236 nucleotides) under Marinilactibacillus sp. RNAcentral's name for it is "T-box sequence". It matches the Rfam family "T-box leader". Rfam says of the family: Uncharged tRNA acts as the effector for transcription antitermination of genes in the T-box leader family. T-boxes are found upstream of many aminoacyl-tRNA synthetase genes and some amino acid biosynthetic genes usually in Gram-positive bacteria. The anticodon of a specific tRNA base pairs to a specifier sequence within the T-box motif, and the NCCA acceptor tail of the tRNA base pairs to a conserved bulge in the T-box antiterminator hairpin. The record is from RNAcentral. Lineage: Bacteria; Bacillati; Bacillota; Bacilli; Lactobacillales; Carnobacteriaceae.